RNAcentral lists this ribosomal RNA (433 nucleotides) under uncultured bacterium. RNAcentral describes it as "partial 16S ribosomal RNA". It matches the Rfam family "Bacterial small subunit ribosomal RNA", at positions 29 to 507 of the family's 1533-position model. The record is from RNAcentral.
AACGAACGCUGGCGGCAGGCCUAACACAUGCAAGUCGAGCGAGGACUUCGGUCCUAGCGGCGGACGGGUGAGUAACGCGUGGGAACGUGCCCUUUGCUUCGGAAUAGCCCUGGGAAACUGGGAGUAAUACCGGAUGAGCCCUUUGGGGGAAAGAUUUAUCGGCGAAGGAUCGGCCCGCGUUGGAUUAGGUAGUUGGUGGGGUAAUGGCCUAGCAAGCCGACGAUCCAUAGCUGGUUUGAGAGGAUGAUCAGCCACACUGGGACUGAGACACGGCCCAGACUCCUACGGGAGGCAGCAGUGGGGAAUCUUAGACAAUGGGGGAAACCCUGAUCUAGCCAUGCCGCGUGAGCGAUGAAGGCCUUAGGGUUGUAAAGCUCUUUCAGCUGGGAAGAUAAUGACGGUACCAGCAGAAGAAGCCCCGGCUAACUCCGUG